GAGUUUGAUCGUGGCUCAGAUUGAACGCUGGCGGCAGGCUUAACACAUGCAAGUCGAGCGGAGAUGAGGUGCUUGCACCUUAUCUUAGCGGCGGACGGGUGAGUAAUGCUUAGGAAUCUGCCUAUUAGUGGGGGCAACAUUCCGAAAGGGAUGCUAAUACCGCAUACGUCCUACGGGAGAAAGCAGGGGAUCUUCGGACCUUGCGCUAAUAGAUGAGCCUAAGUCGGAUUAGCUAGUUGGUGGGUAAAGGCCUACCAAGGCGACGAUCUGUAGCGGGUCUGAGAGGAUGAUCCGCCACACUGGGACUGAGACACGGCCCAGACUCCUACGGGAGGCAGCAGUGGGGAAUAUUGGACAAUGGGGGGAACCCUGAUCCGGCCAUGCCGCGUGUGUGAAGAAGGCCUUAUGGUUGUAAAGCACUUUAAGCGAGGAGGAGGCUACUGAGACUAAUACUCUUGGAUAGUGGACGUUACUCGCAGAAUAAGCACCGGCUAACUCUGUGCCAGCCCG
This 510-nucleotide ribosomal RNA is filed under the name uncultured microorganism. RNAcentral describes it as "bacterial SSU rRNA". It matches the Rfam family "Bacterial small subunit ribosomal RNA", at positions 9 to 517 of the family's 1533-position model. The record is from RNAcentral.